This 497-nucleotide ribosomal RNA is filed under the name uncultured bacterium. Its description in RNAcentral is "bacterial SSU rRNA". It matches the Rfam family "Bacterial small subunit ribosomal RNA", at positions 29 to 502 of the family's 1533-position model. The record is from RNAcentral.
AACGAACGCUGGCGGCGUGCCUAACACAUGCAAGUCGAACGAGAACGUUCCCUUCGGGGAGCUAGUAAAGUGGCGAAAGGGUGAGUAACACGUGAGUAAUCUGCCCUCGAGACCGGGAUAACAUCUCGAAAGGGGUGCUAAUACCGGAUAAGCCCACCGGACCCUAUGAUCCAGCGGGAAAAGGUAGCCUCUCCAUGGAAGCCUCUGCUCGAGGAGGAGCUCGCGGACCAUUAGCUUGUUGGUAGGGUAACGGCCUACCAAGGCUAUGAUGGUUAGCCGGCCUGAGAGGGUGUCCGGCCACACUGGAACUGAGACACGGUCCAGACUCCUACGGGAGGCAGCAGUGGGGAAUAUUGCGCAAUGGGGGAAACCCUGACGCAGCAACGCCGCGUGAGUGACGAAGGCUUUCGGGUCGUAAAGCUCUGUCAGAGGGGAAGAAUUGCUUCUCCGUGAAUAGCGGAGGGCGUGACGGUACCCUCAAAGAAGCCCCGCUAACU